GUGCUCGCUUCGGCAGCGCAUAUGCUGAAAUUGGAACGAUACAGAGAAGAUUAGCUUGGCCCCUGCGCAAGAAAGGCCGUUGAGCGCAGCGCCUGGCUUUAAAGUUGU
Molecule: small nuclear RNA, 108 nt
Organism: Heteronotia binoei (common prickly gecko)
Lineage: Eukaryota; Metazoa; Chordata; Lepidosauria; Squamata; Gekkonidae
Source: RefSeq, a predicted model, not a curated record